CGUAGAUGAACGCUGGCGGCAGGCCGUAACACAUGCAAGUCGAGCGGUAGCACAGAGAGCUUGCUCUCGGGUGACGAGCGGCGGACGGGUGAGUAAUGUCUGGGAAACUGCCUGAUGGAGGGGGAUAACUACUGGAAACGGUAGCUAAUACCGCAUAACGUCGCAAGACCAAAGAGGGGGACCUUCGGGCCUCUUGCCAUCAGAUGUGCCCAGAUGGGAUUAGCUAGUAGGUGGGGUAACGGCUCACCUAGGCGACGAUCCCUAGCUGGUCUGAGAGGAUGACCAGCCACACUGGAACUGAGACACGGUCCAGACUCCUACGGGAGGCAGCAGUGGGGAAUAUUGCACAAUGGGCGCAAGCCUGAUGCAGCCAUGCCGCGUGUAUGAAGAAGGCCUUCGGGUUGUAAAGUACUUUCAGCGAGGAGGAAGGCGUUAAGGUUAAUAACCUUAGCGAUUGACGUUACUCGCAGAAGAAGCACCGGCUAACUCCGUGCCAGCAGCAGC
This 504-nucleotide ribosomal RNA is filed under the name uncultured bacterium. RNAcentral describes it as "bacterial SSU rRNA". It matches the Rfam family "Bacterial small subunit ribosomal RNA", at positions 28 to 518 of the family's 1533-position model. The record is from RNAcentral.